This 465-nucleotide ribosomal RNA is filed under the name Vreelandella stevensii. RNAcentral describes it as "partial 16S ribosomal RNA". It matches the Rfam family "Bacterial small subunit ribosomal RNA", at positions 338 to 795 of the family's 1533-position model. The record is from RNAcentral. Lineage: Bacteria; Pseudomonadati; Pseudomonadota; Gammaproteobacteria; Oceanospirillales; Halomonadaceae.
CCUACGGGGGGCAGCAGUGGGGAAUAUUGGACAAUGGGCGAAAGCCUGAUCCAGCCAUGCCGCGUGUGUGAAGAAGGCCUUCGGGUUGUAAAGCACUUUCAGUGGGGAAGAAAGCCUUGGGGCUAAUACCCUCGAGGAAGGACAUCACCCACAGAAGAAGCACCGGCUAACUCCGUGCCAGCAGCCGCGGUAAUACGGAGGGUGCGAGCGUUAAUCGGAAUUACUGGGCGUAAAGCGCGCGUAGGCGGUCUGAUAAGCCGGUUGUGAAAGCCCCGGGCUCAACCUGGGAACGGCAUCCGGAACUGUCAGGCUAGAGUGCAGGAGAGGAAGGUAGAAUUCCCGGUGUAGCGGUGAAAUGCGUAGAGAUCGGGAGGAAUACCAGUGGCGAAGGCGGCCUUUUGGACUGACACUGACGCUGAGGUGCGAAAGCGUGGGUAGCAAACAGGAUUAGAUACCCUGGUAGUC